GAGGUGUCGGCUUAAGUGCCAUAACGAGCGCAACCCCUCUCCUUAGUUGCCAUCAGGUGAAGCUGGGCACUCUGGGGACACUGCCACCGUAAGGUGUGAGGAAGGUGGGGAUGACGUCAAAUCAGCACGGCCCUUACGUCCGGGGCUACACACGUGUUACAAUGGCAGGUACAGAGAGACGGUCCCUUGCAAAACGGAUCAAAUCCUUAAAGCCUGUCUCAGUUCGGACUGGGGUCUGCAACCCGACCCCACGAAGCUGGAUUCGCUAGUAAUCGCGCAUCAGCCAUGGCGCGGUGAAUACGUUCCCGGGCCUUGUACACACCGCCCGUCAAGCCAUGAAAGCCGGGGGCGCCUAAAGUCCGUGACCGUAAGGAGCGGCCUAGGGCGAAACUGGUAAUUGGGGCUAAGUCGUAACAAGGUAGCCGUACCGGAAGGUGCGGCUGGAACACCUCCUUU
RNAcentral lists this ribosomal RNA (456 nucleotides) under Segatella copri. RNAcentral describes it as "bacterial SSU rRNA". It matches the Rfam family "Bacterial small subunit ribosomal RNA", at positions 1069 to 1533 of the family's 1533-position model. Lineage: Bacteria; Pseudomonadati; Bacteroidota; Bacteroidia; Bacteroidales; Prevotellaceae. The record is from RNAcentral.